AAAAUAAUUAUUAUAUAGUUGCAAUCAAAAUCAAACAUAUGUUUACACAUACGAUAUAUUGCAGCAAAUAUCGCUAUGCAUAAACAUUGUAAAUAUGUAAACUUAACUUAAUAAUAAUUAAUACUAGUAUAUAAUUAAUUAAUAACAUGAACUUUAGAACUUUAAUAUCAAUAAUUUUUAUCAAUUGUUAAUUCUUAUUGUUCAUAGUCUUUGACUUGCCAUAUAUGUAGUUACUCUCGAUAACUCACCGAUAACUAUGUAACAACUUACUACUGCACAAACGUUGUAUGGUGACAGUUGUUCAUAUUCUUUUAGCUAUUGCAACUCAAAUGUAAAAUGAAAAAAAAAAUAAUUAUCUAUAUUAAUUAUCAUUAAUUUUCUGUAAUUUAAACUAUUUUUAGCUUAUGCCCAUAUUGGAGAAAAUGACCAGACUUUGUCUCGAUUUUUCUCCAUAAUUCCAAUUAGCUACUCUGGGCUAAUUUCUCAGUGCAUCUUGCAGAUGCUUAUUAAUGGAAAAAGAAAAUUGAAUUAUAUUAAUUAAUGCUAUCUAUUACUAUUGUAAAACUUAUAUCUUAGUUAUCAUAUUAGUCUAUUAUCAGCUACUCAAGCACUUUAUUGUCAUUUUGUAUUAUCUUUAAAUUGCUCUUUUUAUCUGUAUUUUGUAACAUUAAGCUGCACUGUUAUUCUUGUGCACUUAUGGCCAUUUAAAUUGAAUCAUUUUAUGAAAAGUUUUGCUGCUGGUCAGCUGAUCAUGUAUGAGUAGGGAAGAAGCGGAGAUCACUAAUGUGUGUUCUGCCUAGACAUACAAACAGAAAAACGAACAGAAAUUGCUGAAUCUGUAAUUGAACAGAGUUCAGUAAAUUGCCAAUAAUGAUGACCACUUACCUGCUCUCCCGAUGGAUGCAGUUGAUUUACUGAAUCUGUAAUUGAACAGAUCUCAGUAAACUGUCAAUAAUGAUGUCCACAUACCUGCUUUCUGCCAUUUGAGGAUCUGAUGGUGCUGGUGCUAGCUACCAGCCAGUUCGAGAUGCCUAAUAUUUACCAUGUGUCGCUGGUCCAAAUUGCGGUGCCAGCAGCCAUUCAUCUUGUCCUGCAUAAUUUCCACCGAUUGUGCUGCCACUGACGGAGGCCGUCUGUCCCUGAUGGUCCUGAUGGUUUCCUCGCCUAGAUGUCUCCUCACCUGUAAAUAAAUAGAAAAUAAUUAGUAUUAUUAGCUAAGUUAAUUUAAGUUUUCCUAUUGUUAUUUGUAAAUAUAGUUCUAAGUCACAAUAGCUCCAAGUUGCCAUUCAAAAUGAUCGCAUAUCGAUAACAUUUAUUAACUACGAUAGUAAUGCCAAUAAUCUACUCAGCCCUGGCUGAGCAGUUCCCCAGCAACUCGAGCCCUGACUGCUCUGCGUAGCAUGUUUUCAGGCGCCACUUAAUUUCUAAACAAAUGAUACUAGGUAUCGAUUGAGAUAUUUACAGCCCACGCCCUGCCAUGCCUGGUGGAGGUGAAUGGCAGGAGUGGGCAGCCCAGCCAAUUGCUCGUUGGAUGGCAGCGAGAUCGGUCGAUCGGUCGAGAGCGCAGCCGCCAGCAGG
Long non-coding RNA from Drosophila mojavensis, 1578 nucleotides. RefSeq lists it as uncharacterized. Lineage: Eukaryota; Metazoa; Arthropoda; Insecta; Diptera; Drosophilidae. The record is from RefSeq and is a predicted model, not a curated record. The transcript is spliced from 2 exons.